UAGGGUUUUAGGGUCAGGGCCCGGGGCCCAGGGUUAGGGUUUUAGGGUCAGGGCCCGGGGCCCAGGGUUAGGGUGAUUUCCAGGAAGUGACCUCACAACGACUCAAGCUACCACUUAUUGUUGAUUGUGAUGAAAUGCCAGCUGAGGCACACACCUUGGGAGCUAAGUGGUUGCUGCACUUGACUACUAUGAAGACUGGUGUGGGAAGGGUCGCUUUGGAUGCACUUGAGCAGGGGUCCCCAACCCCUGAGCCAUGGAGCCGUAAGGAGCCACACAGCAGGUGGGACCAUCCAGUUUCAGGAAAACAAGCUUAACACGCCCACUGAUUCUACAUUAUGCUCCUACCUCCCGGCAGCCUCGCCAGGCCCAGAACUCUCUCCAGUCAGCCUCUACAGACCAAGCUCAUGACUCACAAUGGCCUAUUUAGGCCCAUAGCCUACCUCACGGCAGUCUCCGCAGAUGAGCCUACUGCCUCACAACAGCCUCCACAGGCACAGCUCCAUCGUUCCAAUGGCCUCUUUAGACCCAGCUCCUGCCUCCCAGCCUUGUCUCCAGGCCCUGAACUUUCUCCGUAAGUUGAGGUAGCUGGGACUGUAGGUAUACAUGAUGAUACUUGGCUAAUUUUUACAUUGUUUUGCAGACAUGGGGUCUCACUUUGUUGGCCAGGCUGCUGUCAAACUAAUGGCCUCAAGUGACCCUUCCACCCCUGCCUCCCAUCCUCGAGGUAUGUGCCACCACAAGGAGCACUUGUUCAAUUUUCUAAAGAAAAAAUUUCUAAAGUAAGGCUGUGGGAUGAUGGCAGGAAGAUAAAAGAAAAACAGAAGAAUAAGUUAAAAUGACUUAUUCACACAUAUUCUUUUGACAGCAAGAAGAACUGUUAGUAUAUACAUUGCUUACAAACAAACAAACGGCAGAUAAACAAUGUUGUAUAGGAACUUCAACACACACUGUACAAUAUUCCCACUUUGCUGACAUAAGUUAUGGAAAUUUCGUGGUUUCCUUGAGUGUCGCUACCAGUAUUUUGGUCCUCUGACGAUUUUUAUCAACUUCCUCAUCUGUUAACUUCUCUCCAAAGUAUGUCAUGUCACGACAUACUGCCGCUGCACGAACACGGCCAGUGUCUUCCUAUUAAACAUGUAGAAUGCUUUCCUAA
Long non-coding RNA from Gorilla gorilla gorilla (western lowland gorilla), 1153 nucleotides. RefSeq lists it as uncharacterized. Lineage: Eukaryota; Metazoa; Chordata; Mammalia; Primates; Hominidae. The record is from RefSeq and is a predicted model, not a curated record. The transcript is spliced from 3 exons.